GAUGAACGCGGGCGGCGCGCCUAACACAUGCAAGUCGAACGAUUAAAGCACUUUCGGGUGUGUAUAAAGUGGCGAACGGCUGAGUAACACGUGGGCAACCUGCCCCUCUCAUUGGGAUAGCCACGGGAAACCGUGGAUAAUACCGAAUACUUCGAGUCUCCCGCAUGGAAGACUCGAGAAAGCUCCGGCGGAGAGGGAUGGGCCCGCGGCCUGUUAGCUUGUUGGUGGGGUAACGGCCUACCAAGGCAAUGAUGGGUAGCUGGGUUGAGAGACCGACCAGCCAGAUUGGGACUGAGACACGGCCCAGACUCCUACGGGAGGCAGCAGUGGGGAAUCUUGCACAAUGGGCGAAAGCCUGAUGCAGCGACGCCGCGUGCGGGAUGAAGGCCUUCGGGUUGUAAACCGCUUUCAGCAGGGACGAGGCGAAAGUGACGGUACCUGCAGAAGAAGCCCCGGCUAACUACGUGCCAGCAGCCGCGGUAAUACGUAGGGGGCAAGCGUUAUCCGGAUUCAUUGGGCGUAAAGCGCUCGUAGGCGGUCUGUUAGGUCGGGAGUUAAAUCCGGGGGCUCAACCCCCGUUCGCUCCCGAUACCGGCAGACUUGAGUUUGGUAGGGGAAGGUGGAAUUCCUAGUGUAGCGGUGGAAUGCGCAGAUAUUAGGAAGAACACCAGUGGCGAAGGCGGCCUUCUGGGCCAUAACUGACGCUGAGGAGCGAAAGCUAGGGGAGCAAACAGG
This 735-nucleotide ribosomal RNA is filed under the name uncultured Atopobium sp. RNAcentral describes it as "bacterial SSU rRNA". It matches the Rfam family "Bacterial small subunit ribosomal RNA", at positions 28 to 776 of the family's 1533-position model. Lineage: Bacteria; Bacillati; Actinomycetota; Coriobacteriia; Coriobacteriales; Atopobiaceae. The record is from RNAcentral.